Molecule: unclassified non-coding RNA, 223 nt
Filed under: Hevea brasiliensis (rubber tree)
Lineage: Eukaryota; Viridiplantae; Streptophyta; Magnoliopsida; Malpighiales; Euphorbiaceae
Source: RNAcentral
UGGCUUAUCAAUCAAAUAAUACAGAAAUUCUAUCUUCUCCCUAAGUUCUCUAUCUCUCUGUUUUGCGUUUCAAUUCCUUCCUUUGGCUUCUCCUUAAUACAGAAAUACACCAUCUCUCGAUCCCUCUGUUUCUUCCCUUCUCUUUCUUCUCCUCCUCCCAUUUAUUCUAUUUCUUCUCCCUUUUCCUCUGUUCUUCUAUUGGUUGUGGUCAGUCCACAAAAUC